Non-coding RNA from Misgurnus anguillicaudatus (oriental weatherfish), 763 nucleotides. Lineage: Eukaryota; Metazoa; Chordata; Actinopteri; Cypriniformes; Cobitidae. The record is from RefSeq and is a predicted model, not a curated record.
GCAGUUUUCUUCACAUUUUUUCACAACGUCAAUCAACCUUGCUAUGUUAAACAGCCCGCGUGUCCUCAUCGCUGAUAGGCUCUGAGUCAACCGAAUCGUGAUCUGAUUGGACGGUGCGCUUGUCGCGUCAAAGCUUCACCGUCAGGUUGCGUAGCUCAGAGGAUUCAGGCUCUCAUUCGCACACACGCAGUCGAAGCGACAGCAUUGAAAGUCCGGAGUAUGGAGGCGACGAAAGCGCGUUUGAAAAAAGACAUUUGCAAUCAAACCUCUGGAGUGUGAACCUCAACAGCAGGUGGUCCACCCUUGGCAUACUAAUAAGAGAGGAGUGACACAUCACCAGAGCCCUGCAGCGGAGAUCCAGACAUCAUGAUGCAACGUAGUCGUUCGCAAGCAGACUGUAGACGUAAAACAUCUUCACACUGAUGUGUCAGGAGUCGAUGCCCAUGCACACUCUUUAUUGCAUGGUCAUCAUGCCAGGGGCAAAGAAACACAAGACUUUGGAAGAACAAACGUUUGUUUAUGCCUGUGGAUAGAGGGCUGCUUGGGUAAAACACUGAGAUGCUUUGAAGUGCCGUCCCACUAGUCUCUCAAAACAACUUCAGUUUGGUAUGGGGCAUCUACAGUAUAUGGCACACCUCUGAUGGACAACAUCGACAACUCAAAAUUUACCUUAUUUACUUGAUGCACAUUUCUAUUGUUGAUACAGGUAUACAUGAUUUAUAAGUGCACAUUGGUUCAAAUAAAAAACUUUUUGCAACAGUUA